AGAGUUUGAUCCUGGCUCAGAUUGAACGCUGGCGGCAGGCCUAACACAUGCAAGUCGAGCGGAUGAAGAGAGCUUGCUCUCUGAUUCAGCGGCGGACGGGUGAGUAAUGCCUAGGAAUCUGCCUGGUAGUGGGGGACAACGUCUCGAAAGGGACGCUAAUACCGCAUACGUCCUACGGGAGAAAGCAGGGGACCUUCGGGCCUUGCGCUAUCAGAUGAGCCUAGGUCGGAUUAGCUAGUUGGUGAGGUAAUGGCUCACCAAGGCGACGAUCCGUAACUGGUCUGAGAGGAUGAUCAGUCACACUGGAACUGAGACACGGUCCAGACUCCUACGGGAGGCAGCAGUGGGGAAUAUUGGACAAUGGGCGAGAGCCUGAUCCAGCCAUGCCGCGUGUGUGAAGAAGGUCUUCGGAUUGUAAAGCACUUUAAGUUGGGAGGAAGGGUUGUAGAUUAAUACUCUGCAAUUUUGACGUUACCGACAGAAUAAGCACCGGCUAACUCUGUGCCAGCAGCCGAAGGGCGAAUUCCACAGUG
This 533-nucleotide ribosomal RNA is filed under the name uncultured endophytic bacterium. RNAcentral describes it as "bacterial SSU rRNA". It matches the Rfam family "Bacterial small subunit ribosomal RNA", at positions 8 to 532 of the family's 1533-position model. The record is from RNAcentral.